AUGGGCGACCACCACCACCCGCGGGCCCGCCCCGCCGCCGGCGACCUGCGCCCGCCGGAGCCGCCGCUCGACCCGCUCGAGUUCCUCUCCCGCUCCUGGAGCGCCUCCGCCGUCGACGUGCCCCGCCCGCGCCCGCCGUCGCCGGCGCCGCUCCUCGCCGCGCCCAUCGCCGAGGACCCCGCCUGCUGCGAGCUCGACGACGGCGCGGCCACGGCCGGCAGCUCCUUCUCCUUCGCCUCCGCCGCCACCUCGCAGUUCAUCAUGGAGCGGAUCCUGGCGCAGUCGGAAGUGGCGCCCCUCACAACCGGACGGCUCUCCCACAGCAGCGGCCCGCUCAACGGCGGCGGCUCGCUCACCGACAGCCCGCCGGUCUCGCCGGAGAUUGACGACUCGCAGUACUGCAGGGCGGGCACGCCGAAGCCACAGGCGUACCGAGGAGGCAGCAAGACGGUCGGCCGGUGGCUCAAGGACAGGAAGGAGAAGAAGAAAGAGGAGACGCGAGCGCACAACGCGCAGGUCCAUGCCGCUGUUUCGGUCGCGGCGGUGGCUGCUGCGGUUGCGGCCGUUGCUGCUGCCACCGCUGCGGCCUCAAGCACCGGCAAGGAUGAUCGCGCGGCCCGCACCGACAUGGCCAUGGCCUCCGCGGCGACGCUCGUGGCCGCGCAAUGCGUCGAGGCCGCGGAGUCCUUGGGGGCCGAGCGCGAGCAUUUGGAGGCGGUUGUUAGCUCGGCGGUGAAUGUCAGGACGCCUGGCGACAUCGUCACGGUCACAGCUGCUGCUGCUACUGCAUUGAGAGGUGCAGCCACAUUGAGGGCGAGGGCUCUGAAGGAGGUGUGGAACAUAGCGGCGGUGAUCCCGGUCGAGAAGGGGACGAUGGGAGGAGGAGGUGCAGGAGGAGGGCACCAUCACAAGCAGAUUGUGCAAAAGCAGCAGCAUCGCAAGCUGGAGAGCAACGGCAGCAGCAUCAGCGAUCUUUCGCUAGAGGAGGAGAACAACUUCCUGGGCGUGUGCAGCCAAGAACUUCUUGUUCGCGGCACCGAGCUCCUUAAACGCACGCGGAAAGGCGCACUGCAUUGGAAGGUCGUAUCGGUGUACAUCAACCGAAUGGGCCUGGUCUCUCUGAAAAUGAAGAGCCGGCAUGUCGCAGGGACAAUCACCAAGAAGAAGAAAGGUGUGGUGAUCGACGUGUGCAAGGACGUGGCGGCGUGGCCCGGGCGGCACCUGCUGGAGGACGGCGAGCACCGGCGCUACUUCGGGCUGAGGACGGCGGACCACCGGGUGAUCGAGUUCGAGUGCACCAGCCAGAGGGAGUAUGAGCUGUGGACCAAGGGCGUGGCCCGCCUCCUCAGCAUCGCCGGCGAGCGGAAGCGUCCCCUGUGA
RNAcentral lists this ribosomal RNA (1380 nucleotides) under Triticum aestivum (bread wheat). Its description in RNAcentral is "partial small subunit ribosomal RNA". Lineage: Eukaryota; Viridiplantae; Streptophyta; Magnoliopsida; Poales; Poaceae. The record is from RNAcentral.